This 119-nucleotide small nuclear RNA is filed under the name Prunus dulcis (almond). RNAcentral's name for it is "sRNA ncRNA". It matches the Rfam family "U5 spliceosomal RNA". Rfam says of the family: U5 RNA is a component of both types of known spliceosome. The precise function of this molecule is unknown, though it is known that the 5' loop is required for splice site selection and p220 binding, and that both the 3' stem-loop and the Sm site are important for Sm protein binding and cap methylation. RNAcentral also lists the same sequence under 1 other name. Lineage: Eukaryota; Viridiplantae; Streptophyta; Magnoliopsida; Rosales; Rosaceae. The record is from Rfam by way of RNAcentral.
AGCCACGCGGUGAGCACAAAGCGAACUAUUCUUUCGCCUUUUACUAAAGAAUACCGUGUGCUCGCCGCUCAUAGUGGCAUACGCCCAUUUUUGGAGGGGUUUCUCUUCUUUGGAGAAGC